AUGGCGGAGGAACCGUCCGCCAAGUGUCAUCAUGCCGAGACGUCGGACAAGAGGAGCAACCUCGUCGACAUUAACGUCCCCGGCGAGAAGCGCAACUACACCAGAACGCUCAAAGGGGUUGAGCUCCACGGCAAGGAGACGCUGGAGAUCGUCUGCACCAGCGAACCAGACAAGGCCGACGAGGUUAUCUCCAGGCUCUGGAGGAAGCUUGGCGGCAGGAUUCGUAGGAUCAUCGGCGUUGGUGUGCACUACACCAACGAAGAUGAACCUCCCCAGAUGGCGGCAGUCCUGCAGGUGUGCGUCGACGAACUCUGCUUGGUGUACCACAUCGCAGCGGCCACAAAAUGGUGA
RNAcentral lists this ribosomal RNA (351 nucleotides) under Triticum aestivum (bread wheat). RNAcentral describes it as "partial small subunit ribosomal RNA". The record is from RNAcentral. Lineage: Eukaryota; Viridiplantae; Streptophyta; Magnoliopsida; Poales; Poaceae.